Molecule: long non-coding RNA, 548 nt
Organism: Dalotia coriaria
Lineage: Eukaryota; Metazoa; Arthropoda; Insecta; Coleoptera; Staphylinidae
Exons: 2
Source: RefSeq, a predicted model, not a curated record
AAGUGUAAUAAUAACGUACACGCAGACAUCGCGAACGCCAAACGGCAGCCGGGGUGCCACCGCAAGUGCAAGCAGAGAAGAAUUGCGCGUGGUGAACCACAAGAAGUGCAAAAAGAACCCGAAAACAAGCAACAACUUGAAAUUUGACGUCGACAGCCGACAGGAUUGGAUACGUUCACAGUCGGUGUCGGUGUAACUGAAUCAACGAAAUACUUGUCUUCAGAAAAGGUUGAAGUUCAACGCCGAGAAGAACAAGAACAAGUUGCAGUAGUCGCGCGCAAAAAAACGCAGAGCGCUUGGAAUAAAUGUUUCAAUUACGUAUGACUGGGCCGCCGGUGGCGUUCGUUACCUUCGUGGGCGUCCUCGGUGUGUGUUACAUUGGCCUUCCGCUAAUUAGAGCCUACACUAACCCAAACAAACCAAAAACAGCGACCAGCGGAUUAUAGAAUAUGGAAGAUUGGACCAUUCUCUAUUCGCUAGGAAUUUAAAAUUAUUUAAUUUCAAAGAGUAAAGGGUCGAAAAAUGCGACUAAAAGUGCUAAAAAGUGA